This 2757-nucleotide ribosomal RNA is filed under the name Staphylococcus aureus W25797. Its description in RNAcentral is "bacterial LSU rRNA". It matches the Rfam family "Bacterial large subunit ribosomal RNA". The record is from RNAcentral. Lineage: Bacteria; Bacillati; Bacillota; Bacilli; Caryophanales; Staphylococcaceae.
UAGCAUAUCAGAAGGCACACCCGGAGAACUGAAACAUCUUAGUACCCGGAGGAAGAGAAAGAAAAUUCGAUCCCCUUAGUAGCGGCGAGCGAAACGGGAAGAGCCCAAACCAACAAGCUUGCUUGUUGGGGUUGUAGGACACUCUAUACGGAGUUACAAAGGACGACAUUAGACGAAUCAUCUGGAAAGAUGAAUCAAAGAAGGUAAUAAUCCUGUAGUCGAAAAUGUUGUCUCUCUUGAGUGGAUCCUGAGUACGACGGAGCACGUGAAAUUCCGUCGGAAUCUGGGAGGACCAUCUCCUAAGGCUAAAUACUCUCUAGUGACCGAUAGUGAACCAGUACCGUGAGGGAAAGGUGAAAAGCACCCCGGAAGGGGAGUGAAAUAGAACCUGAAACCGUGUGCUUACAAGUAGUCAGAGCCCGUUAAUGGGUGAUGGCGUGCCUUUUGUAGAAUGAACCGGCGAGUUACGAUUUGAUGCAAGGUUAAGCAGUAAAUGUGGAGCCGUAGCGAAAGCGAGUCUGAAUAGGGCGUUUAGUAUUUGGUCGUAGACCCGAAACCAGGUGAUCUACCCUUGGUCAGGUUGAAGUUCAGGUAACACUGAAUGGAGGACCGAACCGACUUACGUUGAAAAGUGAGCGGAUGAACUGAGGGUAGCGGAGAAAUUCCAAUCGAACCUGGAGAUAGCUGGUUCUCUCCGAAAUAGCUUUAGGGCUAGCCUCAAGUGAUGAUUAUUGGAGGUAGAGCACUGUUUGGACGAGGGGCCCCUCUCGGGUUACCGAAUUCAGACAAACUCCGAAUGCCAAUUAAUUUAACUUGGGAGUCAGAACAUGGGUGAUAAGGUCCGUGUUCGAAAGGGAAACAGCCCAGACCACCAGCUAAGGUCCCAAAAUAUAUGUUAAGUGGAAAAGGAUGUGGCGUUGCCCAGACAACUAGGAUGUUGGCUUAGAAGCAGCCAUCAUUUAAAGAGUGCGUAAUAGCUCACUAGUCGAGUGACACUGCGCCGAAAAUGUACCGGGGCUAAACAUAUUACCGAAGCUGUGGAUUGUCCUUUGGACAAUGGUAGGAGAGCGUUCUAAGGGCGUUGAAGCAUGAUCGUAAGGACAUGUGGAGCGCUUAGAAGUGAGAAUGCCGGUGUGAGUAGCGAAAGACGGGUGAGAAUCCCGUCCACCGAUUGACUAAGGUUUCCAGAGGAAGGCUCGUCCGCUCUGGGUUAGUCGGGUCCUAAGCUGAGGCCGACAGGCGUAGGCGAUGGAUAACAGGUUGAUAUUCCUGUACCACCUAUAAUCGUUUUAAUCGAUGGGGGGACGCAGUAGGAUAGGCGAAGCGUGCGAUUGGAUUGCACGUCUAAGCAGUAAGGCUGAGUAUUAGGCAAAUCCGGUACUCGUUAAGGCUGAGCUGUGAUGGGGAGAAGACAUUGUGUCUUCGAGUCGUUGAUUUCACACUGCCGAGAAAAGCCUCUAGAUAGAAAAUAGGUGCCCGUACCGCAAACCGACACAGGUAGUCAAGAUGAGAAUUCUAAGGUGAGCGAGCGAACUCUCGUUAAGGAACUCGGCAAAAUGACCCCGUAACUUCGGGAGAAGGGGUGCUCUUUAGGGUUAACGCCCAGAAGAGCCGCAGUGAAUAGGCCCAAGCGACUGUUUAUCAAAAACACAGGUCUCUGCUAAACCGUAAGGUGAUGUAUAGGGGCUGACGCCUGCCCGGUGCUGGAAGGUUAAGAGGAGUGGUUAGCUUCUGCGAAGCUACGAAUCGAAGCCCCAGUAAACGGCGGCCGUAACUAUAACGGUCCUAAGGUAGCGAAAUUCCUUGUCGGGUAAGUUCCGACCCGCACGAAAGGCGUAACGAUUUGGGCACUGUCUCAACGAGAGACUCGGUGAAAUCAUAGUACCUGUGAAGAUGCAGGUUACCCGCGACAGGACGGAAAGACCCCGUGGAGCUUUACUGUAGCCUGAUAUUGAAAUUCGGCACAGCUUGUACAGGAUAGGUAGGAGCCUUUGAAACGUGAGCGCUAGCUUACGUGGAGGCGCUGGUGGGAUACUACCCUAGCUGUGUUGGCUUUCUAACCCGCACCACUUAUCGUGGUGGGAGACAGUGUCAGGCGGGCAGUUUGACUGGGGCGGUCGCCUCCUAAAAGGUAACGGAGGCGCUCAAAGGUUCCCUCAGAAUGGUUGGAAAUCAUUCAUAGAGUGUAAAGGCAUAAGGGAGCUUGACUGCGAGACCUACAAGUCGAGCAGGGUCGAAAGACGGACUUAGUGAUCCGGUGGUUCCGCAUGGAAGGGCCAUCGCUCAACGGAUAAAAGCUACCCCGGGGAUAACAGGCUUAUCUCCCCCAAGAGUUCACAUCGACGGGGAGGUUUGGCACCUCGAUGUCGGCUCAUCGCAUCCUGGGGCUGUAGUCGGUCCCAAGGGUUGGGCUGUUCGCCCAUUAAAGCGGUACGCGAGCUGGGUUCAGAACGUCGUGAGACAGUUCGGUCCCUAUCCGUCGUGGGCGUAGGAAAUUUGAGAGGAGCUGUCCUUAGUACGAGAGGACCGGGAUGGACAUACCUCUGGUGUACCAGUUGUCGUGCCAACGGCAUAGCUGGGUAGCUAUGUGUGGACGGGAUAAGUGCUGAAAGCAUCUAAGCAUGAAGCCCCCCUCAAGAUGAGAUUUCCCAACUUCGGUUAUAAGAUCCCUCAAAGAUGAUGAGGUUAAUAGGUUCGAGGUGGAAGCAUGGUGACAUGUGGAGCUGACGAAUACUAAUCGAUCGAAGACUUAAUCAA